AUUGAACGCUGACGGCAGGCCUAACACAUGCAAGUCGAACGGUAACAGGAAACAGCUUGCUGUUUCGCUGACGAGUGGCGGACGGGUGAGUAAUGUCUGGGAAACUGCCUGAUGGAGGGGGAUAACUACUGGAAACGGUAGCUAAUACCGCAUAACGUCGCAAGACCAAAGAGGGGGACCCUCGGGCCUCUUGCCAUCGGACGCGCCCAGAUGGAAUUAGCUAGUAGGUGGGGUAACGGCUCACCUAGGCGACGAUCCCUAGCUGGUCUGAGAGGAUGACCAGCCACACUGGAACUGAGACACGGUCCAGACUCCUACGGGAGGCAGCAGUGGGGAAUAUUGCACAAUGGGCGCAAGCCUGAUGCAGCCAUGCCGCGUGUAUGAAGAAGGCCUUAGGGUUGUAAAGCACUUUCAGUGGGGAGAAAAGUGAUUCACCUAAUACGUGAGUCAAUUGAUGUUACCCACAGAAGACGCACCGGCUAACUCCGUGCCAGCAGCCGCCGUAA
RNAcentral lists this ribosomal RNA (506 nucleotides) under uncultured bacterium. RNAcentral's name for it is "partial 16S ribosomal RNA". It matches the Rfam family "Bacterial small subunit ribosomal RNA", at positions 30 to 523 of the family's 1533-position model. The record is from RNAcentral.